RNAcentral lists this ribosomal RNA (253 nucleotides) under uncultured bacterium. RNAcentral's name for it is "partial 16S ribosomal RNA". It matches the Rfam family "Bacterial small subunit ribosomal RNA", at positions 524 to 776 of the family's 1533-position model. The record is from RNAcentral.
GACAGAGGGUGCAAACGUUGUUCGGAAUCAUUGGGCGUAAAGCGCACGUAGGCGGUUCGUUAUGUCGGAUGUGAAAGCCCUUGGCUUAACCGAGGAAGUGCAUCCGAAACUGGCGAGCUAGAGUACGAAAGAGGAUCGCGGAAUUCCCGGUGUAGAGGUGAAAUUCGUAGAUAUCGGGAGGAACACCGGUGGCGAAGGCGGCGAUCUGGGUCGAUACUGGCGCUGAGGUGCGAAAGCGUGGGGAGCAAACAGG